GACGAACGCUGGCGGCGUGCUUAACACAUGCAAGUCGAACGGAAAGGCCCUGCUUUUGUGGGGUGCUCGAGUGGCGAACGGGUGAGUAACACGUGAGUAACCUGCCCUUGACUUUGGGAUAACUUCAGGAAACUGGGGCUAAUACCGGAUAGGUGCUCCUGCUGCCUGGUGGGGGUUGGAAAGUUUCGGCGGUUGGGGAUGGACUCGCGGCUUAUCAGCUUGUUGGUGGGGUAGUGGCUUACCAAGGCUUUGACGGGUAGCCGGCCUGAGAGGGUGACCGGCCACAUUGGGACUGAGAUACGGCCCAGACUCCUACGGGAGGCAGCAGUGGGGAAUAUUGCACAAUGGGCGGAAGCCUGAUGCAGCAACGCCGCGUGCGGGAUGACGGCCUUCGGGUUGUAAACCGCUUUCGCCUGUGACGAAGCGUGAGUGACGGUAAUGGGUAAAGAAGCACCGGCUAACUACGUG
This 468-nucleotide ribosomal RNA is filed under the name uncultured bacterium. RNAcentral describes it as "partial 16S ribosomal RNA". It matches the Rfam family "Bacterial small subunit ribosomal RNA", at positions 28 to 507 of the family's 1533-position model. The record is from RNAcentral.